Molecule: long non-coding RNA, 2737 nt
Organism: Anolis carolinensis (green anole)
Lineage: Eukaryota; Metazoa; Chordata; Lepidosauria; Squamata; Anolidae
Exons: 3
Source: RefSeq, a predicted model, not a curated record
ACAUAAUUCCAUGGCUGCCAGUAAACCCCGCACUCCCUGCAGCAGCCAAGCCUAGCGAAACUGCUACUCUGGCCAUUAAACAGCCAAGGCGGAGGAGAAAGGAAGGAGAAAACUGUGUAGUUGCAUCCCUCCUGCAGUUCGAGAGACAAAAGCAAGGCAUGGACUUCCCUCGGCUGCCAGGCAAGGGAAACCCCAUAGCUGCAAAGCCAGCCGUUGAGAGCUAUAAAGCCUCCAUAAUAGUCACCCCCUUGAACUAAGGAAUCCUUAAAUACAGAAACUGAAAUCCCAAAAAGAGUGUGUGCGACUAUUAUAUGAUGGCAACCAUUAUGUGAUGAAAUACGUGACUGGCUUGACCUUGAAGGAACUGGGGGCGGCAACGGCUGACAGAGAGCUCUGGCGUGGACUGGUCCAUGAGGUCACAAAGAGUCGAAAAUGACUGAACGAGCGAGACAACAACGACGACCCCACUUUAUCUGUCCCACAGGAGGCUCAAAGUGGCAGCUCAUUUUGAACACACACAUUAAUCUAUUAUUUAGAAAUCAUGUACAUAAUACACACUAGUUUUGUGGUGUAGGUUUCUCUUGCUAAAAGUGCUGGCUACGCAACAGGAGUAUCUGUGUUGAUGGUGUCAGAGGCAAGGCAACAGAUUGUUGGAAGUGCCCUUCCUAUAUGACAAGAGAGGGUAAACCUUCACUUUCACUUGCCCUCUGGAAGAGCUCAGGAGAGAACAUAAAAUGGAGAAUUAGAACAAAAUCCCAUGCAGUUGUACACUUGAUCAGUGUUAAUCCACCCAACUCUCACUAACGCUAGGCCUCUCCCUGGUUCUGCACAUGCUGGAAAAGAUAAUGCCUGGAGCUUUUUACUAACAAAGAGACUUCUAGCUGGUAGAAUAGGUAGAAGAAAAAGACACAUUCAGCAUAGUUUUGAUUAGAACAAAGUUGGGUGGAGGGAUGGAAGAAUUAAAGAUGAAAGGAAAAUCAUUUGAGAGCACGAAUGACCUUUUCAGUACUUAACUCAGAAUCUGCCCUAAACAGACAUUUGUGGCUAGAAAUAUUAUGUAUUAUUAACCAUUUUUAAAAGAACAAAAACAAAACAAACAAAACACCUUACUGCUGAAUCAUACUACUUAAAAUCUCCUGGGAAACCUAGUGGAAUUUAUUUCCCAUUUAUAAAGUGACUUCUGAAGGAAAGUGCAAGGCAGGGGAAGGCAAAGAUAACAUAACAACCUGGAGCUUUUUGUCUCUGACAGCCAAUCUAAGAAAUGUGCAUCCAAUCCUGGUCAUUGGGAACAAUAGAUAAAGACAACUCAACAUCCAAAUCCCAGAAGAAAACAAUGCCUCCUUUACCCCCAGCAUUCCUACAAAUUGUGUUCCAAAAGUGAGGUACUCUCUUUUAUAAGAAACAGCCAAGGUUUCCUCACAAGAGGAGGUGUAAAAAUACUAGGAAGAGGGGAUAACAUACAUCAUGUUUCAACUUUUCCCCUACUUUGCAAAGAUUUUUUUAUUUUAGAUGAUUUUGAGUGGCACUAGAAGCAAAGGCCUGUCUGAUACUGAUAUAUGUUCAGCGGUUCGAAUCCAGGGAGAGCGGGGUGAGCUCACUCUGUCAGUUCCAGCUCCCCAUGCAGACAUGAGAGAAGCCUCCCACAGGAUGGUAAAAAUAUCUAAACAUCUGGGCGCACCUUGGGCUAUGUCCUUGCAGACAGCCAAUUCUCUCACACCAGAAGCGACUUGUAGUUUCUCAAGUUGCGCCUGACACACACACAAAAAAACUUCUGCUUUGGCCUCAUUCAGGUUCUGCUGACCAAAUUUUGUCUCUGUAUUCUGUUUUAAAAAUCUAAUGAUGAAAUGAAGUGGAGGCACAAGAUUACCCACACCUGAAGACUCAACAUGAAUUCAGUGAAAUGUGUUUUCAUGUGCAAACAAGUAAAUGCAUCCCUGGAUUUCAGAACUGUAUUUAAAAUAAGAAAAGAAUUAUUCCCUCCUCCCAUAAGAAUGCAGGGAAAAAGAAAAAGCACUUGAGGGGCAAUAUGAGCCUUUACUUUCAGAGAAAACAGCAUCUCACACAGCUAGGGGCAAGCGCACUACAAAGGCCUAGGGCAGAACGCAAAUUGCCUCAUUAAAUUUCAUCACAUUAAGCCAAUUCCAUGAAUUUAACGUUGUCCCUGGACUGUUGUUUGUCUGAAAAUUAAAUUAAAAUAACAUUUGUUCUUCCAACGAGUUUGUCAAUUACAGAGGCCAGAGGAGGGUGGAGGCAAGAGAAGAUGCAAGUCUGAGCCAGUUGUUGCUUUAUCUUCACUUCCCUAAGGAAGAAAAGGAGGGGUGGUUCCUGUCUCUAGAAGAGCCAUACAUAUUGCUGUACCAGUUGGAAUAGCUUGAGUGAGCUCACAUCAGUAAUAUACCAUCACAAGUUCUAAAAGGAAGUUAAUAAUGUACCCCUUGUACCUGAUCUAACAUGGAGUCAGGCAAUUAUUAAUGUGUUACUAGAGAAAAAAACGUAUUUCCUAAAAGAGGAGUUCUGAUACAUUUGCAAUUGCGUUUUUCAGAAGUUUUUAGCCCCUACAGACUCACACCCUUGUAUUAUUCUUCAAUUAAACUAUUAGGGUAGAAAUCUCAACCUGAAUAUUUUUAACCACUCAGUCACAUUCUUCAAUUCAUGAUUUGAAAUGAAAUACCUUGUCACAUGGUGCUAGUUCACUUUCCUAUUUCCAGCUGCUAAAUUACAUUAAAAGGAUGCUGAA